UCCCAAAGAAAAGUCGAGAUGUUCCAGCCCUUGCACCUCAAAAAUUCCCAUCCGUGUAGGUGGCGGCUUCCAAGUAAUAAAAGUGUGCAGCUUCUUGCUGAAAGAAAUAAAACCAUGCGUUAUCCAAUCAUCACCAGACCGUCAAUGCACCCAUGGAAACCGUGCCAUCACAUUUCUUCAUUCAUCCAUCAUCUAAAAAAAAAUAAACAUAGCUCCAGCCAAUUCCCUUCAAUGCCGAGAAUGAGAGCUCUCCUUUUAAAAAAAAACGUUGCAGCCUCAUAUGAAUAAGGUAAGUGACGGCUCCUCUCCUUNUGUUUCCUAGGAUCAAGUGUCUCAAAAAUUAGGGUGGGGACCAACCAACCCUAGGGUGCCAUGUGUCUAUUUUUUAUUAUUGGGCUCAACAANAAAUACCAAAAAUUGGCCCACAAUGUCAAAGUUUGUCUAAAAAUUCUAAACUACUAAAUUAAAAUACAACUAAUUCUAAAACGCUUAUGGAAGAGUCUUGAUUUAUUUUGUCUUCAUCCUAAU
RNAcentral lists this long non-coding RNA (528 nucleotides) under Vigna radiata. Its description in RNAcentral is "long non-coding RNA (VRAD_LNC001802)". Lineage: Eukaryota; Viridiplantae; Streptophyta; Magnoliopsida; Fabales; Fabaceae. The record is from RNAcentral.